UACGAGGGGGGCGAGCGUUGUUCGGAAUUAUUGGGCGUAACGGGUGCGUAGGCGGUUUUGUAAGUCUGAUGUGAAAUCUAUGGGCUCAACUCAUAGCCUGCAUCGGAAACUGCAGGGCUCGAGUGUGGGAGAGGUGAGUGGAAUUCCUGGUGUAGCGGUGAAAUGCGUAGAUAUCAGGAGGAACACCUGUGGCGAAAGCGGCUCACUGGACCACAACUGACGCUGAAGCACGAAAGCUAGGGGAGCAAACAGG
Molecule: ribosomal RNA, 253 nt
Filed under: uncultured bacterium
Lineage: Bacteria
Description: partial 16S ribosomal RNA
Rfam family: Bacterial small subunit ribosomal RNA
Source: RNAcentral